AUUUUUUUGGAGAGCAUAUUUUUCUUUGAACAAAAUGUUGAUGGUGUUGGAUUUUGGGUGAAUCUGGAUGGAAGCACACGAUGCACCAACAUUCCUUUGAGAUUCAAGAGGUGAUGCAUAUCCGAGAAUGAGGAAAAGUUGUUCCAUUUAAGAGGGUUGUCACACCAGGAGCUGAAGCUAGUUCACGGUCUUGGAGCGUAGAAUUGUGGAUGCUCUCUUUCUUUUGUUUUGGAAUGACACGGUAACAAUCACUCUUGGCUGAAGAAAAAAAAACUGAAUUGUGAUUGUGCGUUUAUUUUAUUGUAGCCGCCAAUUUCAUUUUUACUGUUGCAGUUUCGUUUUUACUGUUUUAAUUUCAUUUUCAUGCAUGGUGAAAAAUUUUCAACCCCCCCACUACGUGUUAGACCUGAGACUCGAACCACAGUUUGGUCCUUGAGAGACGACCUAGGAGUCACUUCCUAGUCUAUACUACAUUUCCAAUAUGCAAUCAAAUUUGUAUGGGCCGCGACACCCAUCAAAUUUUGGCGCCGUUGCCGGGGACGAACGGUUCGGUUUUAGGUCUUUUGUUGUGUUAGUGUGUGUUAUCUUGUCUUGUGUUGUGAGUGUGAUGUUCUGUUUUGUGUNUUNGUCAUUGUGUGUUGCAUUUAGGUAGCUUUAGUUGCAUAUUUUCAUUGCAUUCUUCUUUUCCCCCUUCUUUCACAUGUCUACCUGUUUUGGCUGUGUGGAUACUGUUUCUUCUGCCUGUGCCUCUGAUAGUGCUUCUCACGCAUAUUCUGCUGAUUUUUAUGUUGAGAACAAUAUGACUCAUCCUUCCCGUCUUGAGAGUGCUCUUUGGGAGCCGAUUCCACUUGAUGAGGUUG
Molecule: long non-coding RNA, 860 nt
Filed under: Vigna radiata
Lineage: Eukaryota; Viridiplantae; Streptophyta; Magnoliopsida; Fabales; Fabaceae
Description: long non-coding RNA (VRAD_LNC014695)
Source: RNAcentral